Molecule: unclassified non-coding RNA, 285 nt
Filed under: Hevea brasiliensis (rubber tree)
Lineage: Eukaryota; Viridiplantae; Streptophyta; Magnoliopsida; Malpighiales; Euphorbiaceae
Source: RNAcentral
AUUUAAAGACAGUGGCAACUUGGCUCCUCCUUCAUCAACUCCUUUAAACAGUACUGCUACUUUACCACAAACUACAACAAGAACUGUAGCUGGUAAGAAGAGAAAGUGUCCAUCAGAUAUAGUUCCUGCUUCAGGCCAGAACUGCGGGGAUAGAGAGAUAAUUGAUGCUAUGGUAGAAGCUAUGGGGGAUAUGAUUGCUGCUUCAAAGUUUCAGACAGUUGUAAUGCCUCAAGUUGAUGGUAGAUUUACAAUCCGUAAAUGUAUCAAAGCUUUGGAUGAGAUAGA